This is a long non-coding RNA of Myiozetetes cayanensis, 844 nucleotides long. RefSeq lists it as uncharacterized. The record is from RefSeq and is a predicted model, not a curated record. The transcript has 3 exons. Lineage: Eukaryota; Metazoa; Chordata; Aves; Passeriformes; Tyrannidae.
CCUGGAGAAGGUGGGUUGGCCAUGGAGAGCCUGGUUUGGCUGUGUAGAAGGUGGUUUGUUCAUGGAGAACAAGCUUUGGUCAUGGAGGAGGUGGGUUGGGCCUGGAGAACCUGCCUUGGCCAUGGAGGAGGUGGGUUGGGCCUGGAGAACCUUCCUUGGCCAUGGAGGAGGUGGGUUGGGCCUGGAGAACCUGGCUUAGUCCAGGAGAACUUGCCUUGGCCAUGGAGAACCUGGUUUGGUGCAUGGAGAAGGUGGGUUGGUCCUGGAGAACCUGGUUUGGGCCAGGAGAACCUGGUUUGGGCCAGGAGAACCUGCCUUGGCCAUGGAGAAGGUGGGUUGGGCCUGGAGAAGGUGGGUUGGGCCUGGAAAAGGUGGGUUGGCCAUGGAGAACAAGCUUUGAUCCUGGAGAAGGUGGGUUGGCCAUGGAGAACUUGGUUUGGUCCAGAAGGUGAUUUGGUCCAGCCUGGUUUGGUCUGGACCUGGUUUGGUCCUGCCCCCAUCCCCGUGGUCCCCACUGAUGUCCCGGUGAUCCCAUCCUUGGGAUCUCUCCCAAACACCCCCCUGAGCCCCUCCCCUGCUGUCCUGGUGUCUCCCACGGGUGUCCCGGUGAUCCCAUCCCCUGGGAUCUCUCCCAAACACCCCCCAGAGCCCCCCGUUGAUGUCCUGGUGGUCCCCAUUGGUGUCUUGAUGGUCCCCAUUGGUGUCCCAGUGAUCCCAUCCCCAGGAUCUCUCCCAAACCCAAACCAGAGCCCCUCACUGAUGUCCUGGUGUCCCCCGGUGUCCCCCCGGUGUCCCCUGACAUGGUGUCCCUCCAUGUCCCCCCCAAUCCCCCCCUGCUGUCCUG